This 400-nucleotide long non-coding RNA is filed under the name Solanum tuberosum (potato). Its description in RNAcentral is "long non-coding RNA (STUB_LNC011901)". Lineage: Eukaryota; Viridiplantae; Streptophyta; Magnoliopsida; Solanales; Solanaceae. The record is from RNAcentral.
UCGAGCCUCAACCUAUUUUCUGAAAUGAUUUUCUUUCCAUCAGGAAGAAAGUUUCUUGAUAUUAUCCCUGUAAUCGCUCUUACCUAUGUAUCGUAUAUGCCUAGUGUUUCUGGGUGAGGAAAGGUAUUAAUAUUCGAGGAUAGAUUAACUUGAACAAGAAACAUCCUGCAUGACUACCUAUGCUUGAGGUGGCCCCAAGGAAUUGCUCCCAAUUAGAUUCUGCCACUAGACACUUGUCCACCGAGCUCCCUUUGACUAACUAUUUUGCACUGCGUUGAACUAGUUUUCAAAACAAUUUUGUUAAAAAAAAAUUACGUGGAGAAAAGGAUCGAUAUUGAUGCAUUUUAGUCUUUGAGCAAAUAAUUUGACUAGGUAUUAUGAGAGAUCAGCUUGACAGCGA